Dicentrarchus labrax (European seabass) is the source of this 944-nucleotide long non-coding RNA. RefSeq lists it as uncharacterized. Lineage: Eukaryota; Metazoa; Chordata; Actinopteri; Moronidae. The transcript is spliced from 3 exons. The record is from RefSeq and is a predicted model, not a curated record.
AUGGAGGUAACUGCCCCUGUAUGGAGGUAACUGCCCCUGUACGGUGGUAACUGCCCCUGUAUGACAGGUAACUGCCCCUGUACGGAGGUAACUGCCCCUGUGUGCAGGUAACUGCCCCUGUAUGGAGGUAACUGCCCCUGUAUGGAGUUAACUGCCCCUGUACGGAGGUAACUGCCCCUGUACUGAGGUAACUGCUCCUGUAUGGAGGUAACUGCCCCUGUAUGGAGGUUACUGCCCCUGUACGGAGGUAACUGCCCCUGUAUGACAGGUAACUGCCCCUGUACGGAGGUAACUGCCCCUGUAUGGAGGUAACUGCCCCUGUAUGGAGGUAACUGCCCCUGUAUGGAGGUAACUGCCCCUGUAUGGAGGUAACUGCCCCUGUACGGAGGUAACUGCCCCUGUAUGGAGGUAAUAAUGUGUAGGGGCAGAAUGAAGCACUCACCGGCAUCAUGCUGGCAGUUUCCUCUCUGUCGACCAUCCGCUGCUGCUGAGAGUCCGCUGCUCAUCACCCGGUUUAUUGUUGUUGUUGUUGUUAUUGUUGUUGUUAUUGUUAUUAUUGUUAUUAACAGUGGUUAUUAUCCGGAUCCUGCUCGACCUGUUGCCGUGGACCAGCGGGCCUCUCUCUCUCUCUCUCUCUCUGGGGGAAUGGGGGAUGAUGAGGAGGGGUUGGAGGCAGCGGGAGAUGAAGCAGGUAGUUCCGAUGAAGGUGGAGCAGCUCUCCUCCUCUUCCUCCUCUUCCUCCUCCUGCUGAGCGUUAAUCCUCCGACCGACCGACCGACUGACUGAGAGCGUGUUUGGAUCCGGACCGUUCACCGUUCACUGCCGGUCACCGGCCGCAGCUCCGCUUCCGCUGCGACCUUUCAGAAUAAAGGCCCCGUUUGCCCACUGUCUUUUCUCUUUAAGGUUUAUAUUUCAUUUUAUUUUGAAGGACAGUUUAUUCAUGU